UUAGUUUACUAAUGAAGCGGUUAGUGGCGGACUGGUGAGUAACACGUAAGCAACCUGCCUAUUAGAGGGGAACAACAGUUAGAAAUGACUGCUAAUACCGCAUAUGCCAUAAGUAUCGCAUGAUACAAGUGGGAAAGGAGCAAUCCGCUAAUAGAUGGGCUUGCGUCUGAUUAGAUAGUUGGUGGGGUAACGGCCCACCAAGGCGACGAUCCAUAGCCGACCUGAGAGGGUGACCGGCCACAUUGGGACUGAGACACGGCCCAGACUCC
Molecule: ribosomal RNA, 269 nt
Filed under: uncultured Oscillospiraceae bacterium
Lineage: Bacteria; Bacillati; Bacillota; Clostridia; Eubacteriales; Oscillospiraceae
Description: partial 16S ribosomal RNA
Rfam family: Bacterial small subunit ribosomal RNA
Source: RNAcentral